Molecule: unclassified non-coding RNA, 21 nt
Filed under: Mus musculus (house mouse)
Lineage: Eukaryota; Metazoa; Chordata; Mammalia; Rodentia; Muridae
Description: oocyte_clustered_small_RNA12227
Source: RNAcentral
UGGCCGGGAAGUGGGAGUGGU